GACGGAGGAUGCAAGCGUUAUCCGGAAUGAUUGGGCGUAAAGCGUUCGCAGGUGGCUAUUCAAGUCUGCUGUCAAAGACCGGGGCUUAACCCUGGCCAGGCGGUGGAGACUACUAAGCUUGAGUACGGUAGGGGCAGAGGGAAUUUCCGGUGGAGCGGUGAAAUGCGUAGAGAUCGGAAAGAACACCAAGGGCGAAGGCACUCUGCUGGGCCGACACUGACACUGAGAGACUAGAGCUAGGGGAGCAAACAGG
Molecule: ribosomal RNA, 253 nt
Filed under: uncultured bacterium
Lineage: Bacteria
Description: partial 16S ribosomal RNA
Rfam family: Bacterial small subunit ribosomal RNA
Source: RNAcentral